RNAcentral lists this transfer RNA (68 nucleotides) under Acidithiobacillus ferrooxidans. Its description in RNAcentral is "tRNA-Ser". The record is from RNAcentral. RNAcentral also lists the same sequence under 1 other name. Lineage: Bacteria; Pseudomonadati; Pseudomonadota; Acidithiobacillia; Acidithiobacillales; Acidithiobacillaceae.
GCCGUUAUUGGUACGUCUUACCCCUCCUAAGCGGUAGGUCGCGCGUUCGAUUCGCGCUCGGGGCACCA